This is a microRNA precursor of Drosophila willistoni, 101 nucleotides long. It matches the Rfam family "mir-283 microRNA precursor family". The record is from Rfam. Lineage: Eukaryota; Metazoa; Arthropoda; Insecta; Diptera; Drosophilidae.
UAACGAAUUCUCAAAGGUAAAUAUCAGCUGGUAAUUCUGGGAGCUAUGCCUAGAUAUUUGAAACACUCGGAAUUUCAGUUGGUAUCGACUUUUUUGAAUUG